This 214-nucleotide ribosomal RNA is filed under the name uncultured Pseudomonas sp. RNAcentral's name for it is "partial 16S ribosomal RNA". It matches the Rfam family "Bacterial small subunit ribosomal RNA", at positions 1065 to 1271 of the family's 1533-position model. Lineage: Bacteria; Pseudomonadati; Pseudomonadota; Gammaproteobacteria; Pseudomonadales; Pseudomonadaceae. The record is from RNAcentral.
CGGUUGAAGGAUUGUUUUGGGUUAACGUCCCGUAACGAGCGCAACCCUUGUCCUUAGUUACCAGCACGUUAUGGUGGGCACUCUAAGGAGACUGCCGGUGACAAACCGGAGGAAGGUGGGGAUGACGUCAAGUCAUCAUGGCCCUUACGGCCUGGGCUACACACGUGCUACAAUGGUCGGUACAGAGGGUUGCCAAGCCGCGAGGUGGAGCUAA